AAUCAACGCUGGCGGCGUGCCUAACACAUGCAAGUCGAACGCGAAAGUCCCGCAAGGGAUCAGUAGAGUGGCAAACGGGUGAGUAACGCGUGGGUGACCUGCCUUCGAGCGGGGGAUAACGUUCCGAAAGGGACGCUAAUACCGCAUAACAUCCUGCUUUUUAAGAGGUGGAGAUCAAAGCCGGGGAUCGCAAGACCUGGCACUCGAAGAGGGGCCCGCGUCCGAUUAGCUAGUUGGUGGGGUAAUGGCUCACCAAGGCCCCGAUCGGUAUCCGGCCUGAGAGGGCGGACGGACACACUGGGACUGAGACACGGCCCAGACUCCUACGGGAGGCAGCAGUGGGGAAUUGUUCGCAAUGGGCGCAAGCCUGACGACGCAACGCCGCGUGGAGGAUGAAGAUCUUCGGGUCGUAAACUCCUUUCGAUCGAGACGAACGGCUUCCGGGUGAACAAUCCGGGAGAGUGACGGUACCGAGAGAAGAAGCCCCGGCUAACUCCGUGC
RNAcentral lists this ribosomal RNA (501 nucleotides) under uncultured bacterium. RNAcentral's name for it is "bacterial SSU rRNA". It matches the Rfam family "Bacterial small subunit ribosomal RNA", at positions 32 to 508 of the family's 1533-position model. The record is from RNAcentral.